GUGGGACGAGAGAGGUCGGAAGAGUGGAACCAGAUGUUUAAUAAUCGGGAGCGUGCAACAUUUUGAACGCUCAUGGAUGGGAGGGACUCGCAAUGGUCAAAGAAACACCGACUGACCCCGCCGAGGAGAGUGCCAACGUAGACGCGUGUAAGAAAAAUUAGAUCUGUCCGUUACACGCGAGAAAGUAGGUUUUUUUUGUUAAAUCCGUCCCCUGGCUAUCGGGUCGAAAACACCCCUGACUUCCCCGAGAGCUAGCCGGGAACGAUAGACCAGGGCGGCAAAAAGGCGGAUCAUAACAGUUUUUAAGCGUUCCGCCUUAUCUUACCCUUACAAAAAUAUCGGCCUUGGAGUCGGGAUGACGGGAGAGCCGCCGCUCCCAGCGGUAAGAUCGCCGCCGUCAUCGCCUUUUGAGCCCUAUAGCAACAACGCCAGAACAUCGUAGAAUAGAAGGGCAAUGCGGGAAAUGGGUUAUGAAGGGUUUGAAGAGCCCUGGGUAGGGUGCUGGGUGCAGUGCAGGCAUAUUGUGUGUGUGUGUGUUUCCUCGUCUGCUUCUCGCACAGUCAAAUCUAUCAUUUCCAGCUGCACCGUUUGCACUUCAAAAAUAAAUGUAUUUGUUGCUGUUGCUGCUGUUGUAGUUGUUGAUGAUGGCUGCUGCUGGAUUAAUACUAUUUUUCGUAUA
This 679-nucleotide long non-coding RNA is filed under the name Drosophila guanche. Lineage: Eukaryota; Metazoa; Arthropoda; Insecta; Diptera; Drosophilidae. The record is from RNAcentral.